AUUGUUUGGAGAGUUUGAUCCUGGCUCAGGACGAACGCUGGCGGCGUGCUUAACACAUGCAAGUCGAGCGGAAAGGCCCUUCGGGGUACUC
This 91-nucleotide ribosomal RNA is filed under the name Nonomuraea jiangxiensis. RNAcentral's name for it is "16S rRNA. Bacterial SSU". It matches the Rfam family "Bacterial small subunit ribosomal RNA", at positions 1 to 90 of the family's 1533-position model. The record is from RNAcentral. Lineage: Bacteria; Bacillati; Actinomycetota; Actinomycetes; Streptosporangiales; Streptosporangiaceae.